RNAcentral lists this long non-coding RNA (1020 nucleotides) under Macaca fascicularis (crab-eating macaque). Its description in RNAcentral is "lncRNA (ENSMFAG00000052370.1)". The record is from RNAcentral. Lineage: Eukaryota; Metazoa; Chordata; Mammalia; Primates; Cercopithecidae.
UUUUUUUUUUUUUUUUUAAGACAGUCUCACUGUGUGGCCAGGCUGUAGUACAGUGGCACGAUCUCGGCUCACUGCAACCUCUGCCUCCCGGGUUCAAGCGAUUCUCCUGCCUCCCCCUCUCAAGUAGCUGGGAUUGCAGGCACGCAACACAAUGCCCAGCUAAUUUUUGUGUUUUUAGUAGAGACGUGGUUUCACCAUGUUGGCCAGGAUGAUCUCGAUCUCUUGACCUCGUGAUCCACCCACCUCAGCCUCCCAAAGUGCUGGGAUUACAGGCAUGAGCCACCGCUCCCGGCCUGUGCAAUCUUUUGGAGUUUGUUGCAACCUGUGAUGCCGGGGUGCCCACCCUCCCUCCUCCGGGAUCCAGCCAGGGGCUAACAGCCCUCACCUGCCACUCCCUUUGCACAGCCCGGAGCCAGCUGUGUGGAGUCUGCCAUUCCUAGACCGGCGGAGGACUGAUUCAACUCCUGCCAAAGCUCCCUGAGUCCUAGCCCCAAGCUUUUUCUCGCCGCGCCCACAAAGCCCUUGCUGGAUGCCCCUCUCUCAUGCACUCACACCUCACUAAGAUUUGAUUUUAUUUUUCACCACCACGCCUAAGCUCUUAGGGCUUCUGACUUCAUAUUUUAUCUCCUUGGUGGCUCGUCAGAGAGAAGAAAGAGGAGUGCAGGAGAGCGAUCCGAAAUAAUGACAGAAAGAAAGGGGGAAGAUCACAUAUGACUCUAAGACUCCCAGCUAGCUCCUUCUUCCUAAUGACCUAGUGGGGAAAUUUAAUUAAGAAGAUCCAUCAGUCAAGUUUCUGGAGGGCCUCUGGAAUUCUCCAAGGAUCUCCAAGGACUUGAGAAAUGUUUCGAAAUAGAAAAUUAACAAUUAUGGAAUCAUUCAAAAAACAAAACAAAACAAACACUGAAAUGACCUCUGGCCUAGAUAGUCCUAUUUGCUUUGGUACCCCAAAUGUCCUACAUGCAGAUGUACAUGCACACCAGCUCCACACAAACCUGAAGAUGCCAGGGACUGGGCCCACCC